AGUCUUCUCAGCAGAGACUAGAAAGUCGUGCUUGCGUUAGAGAAAACACACCUCUUUUCUUUGGCAAAAAAUACAGCCUCGGUGGAUUAAGCUAGGGCCUCCAUCAACACACACAUCUGAAUGAGUUGCCCAGAAUGUGGGGAUUUGAGAGCACUCUGAUUAAGGGAGAUUGUUUUUUCCGCUGCAUCCAGGUGCUUGAACUCUCCAUACAGCUGGAGAUGGAACGGCAAAAGUCACUGGAGCUAGAAAUGGCAAAUCGAGCGCUGCAAGACCUGGUUCACCAAUAUCGCCCACAGGCCACUGCAGUGGGCUGUAGCCCAUUCUCACAGAAUAGAAGGUGGCACGAAGGAGGAGCCCCAAAAGAAAUGGGGCAGAAGCCAGAGCCCAGCCGCUUUGUUCCGGCAGCCUCUCAAAGCAGGCUAGAGGAGAUCAACGCCGCAGAAGCAAUGUUUAGAAAGCAGCAGAGGCAGAGAAUUGCAGCUCUGACAUCAGAAAUGGAGAGAGCCCAAAGCAUGCAUCAGGAGAGCUUGCGGCAAAUAGCACACUGGCAAGCAGGGCUAGACGUGUCAGAAAAACUGUUCCUGGUGGGUGAGGACAUUAGAAGAAGCCUUGCAAAUAAGUACGAUGAUCACUGGUGAACGUGAAGUCCGGCCUGCUGGGACCUCUCCUCAGAAUGCUCAAGAAGGACCUUCCACAAAAAUUAAUCAAGUCCGGGAUGCUGCGUUCAGGGCAACACAGUCAUACAACAGUGCUUUGAGCUAAACUUUUGAAGCUGAAAUAAAUACAUCCGACAGUU
Molecule: long non-coding RNA, 796 nt
Organism: Gallus gallus (chicken)
Lineage: Eukaryota; Metazoa; Chordata; Aves; Galliformes; Phasianidae
Source: Ensembl